UCCCUUGUUUCUGAGCUUUAGUUGAUGAUGUUAGAAAGUUGGUUCCCUUAUCUGAAUGUAGUCAUUCUAAAAUUUAUUUUUCAUGUUUUUGACCAAAGGUGGUAUGAUGAUUUUAGCAACAUGGUUGAGCAAAGCAGCUCUUGAAGAACAAACAACUGUUAUUCUUAUCAUUUUUAAGGGAGAUUUGGCAAAUUACCUUUAAAAGAAAGGACGUCUACAGCCUUCUAAAGCUCUGAGAUUUUCUCUUGAUAUUGCUAGGUAAGCUCAUAACUUGAUAUUUGGCCACCAACUGAUUGUUUUUUAAUUGAAGAUGAUGUGGUUUUCACUGACUUUGUUGGUGACAGCAAGUAAUCAAAAGCUUUAUCGCUUUUCCCCUAGUUUUCUUUUCUUUUGUGGGGACCUAUGAUACCACCAAAUCCACAAGAUCUGACAGUGAUGUAUAGCUUCAUCUACAAUUGGGUCAGCAAUUUGGACAAUCUGGAUUUCUGAACAGCUAAAAGUUGUAAUUUAUCAGAUGUGUAUCAUUACAAGCUAUGUAGUAGAUACUUUGUAUUUAGAGAAUUCUAUAAGAAUAUCUGUAUCUCUUGUGUUC
Molecule: long non-coding RNA, 592 nt
Organism: Magnolia sinica
Lineage: Eukaryota; Viridiplantae; Streptophyta; Magnoliopsida; Magnoliales; Magnoliaceae
Exons: 2
Source: RefSeq, a predicted model, not a curated record